This 507-nucleotide ribosomal RNA is filed under the name uncultured bacterium. RNAcentral describes it as "bacterial SSU rRNA". It matches the Rfam family "Bacterial small subunit ribosomal RNA", at positions 791 to 1322 of the family's 1533-position model. The record is from RNAcentral.
UAGUCCACGCUGUAAACGAUGAGAACUAGCUGUUGGGUAUUAAUAUUUAGUGGCGCAGUUAACGCGAUAAGUUCUCCGCCUGGGGAGUACGGCCGCAAGGUUAAAACUCAAAUGAAUUGACGGGGGCCCGCACAAGCGGUGGAGCAUGUGGUUUAAUUCGAUGCAACGCGAAGAACCUUACCUACCCUUGACAUCCUGCGAAUCCUGUAGAGAUACGGGAGUGCCUUCGGGAAUGCAGAGACAGGUGCUGCAUGGCUGUCGUCAGCUCGUGUUGUGAAAUGUUGGGUUAAGUCCGGCAACGAGCGCAACCCACAUCCUUAGUUGCCAGCAGGUUAAGCUGGGCACUCUAGGGAAACUGCCCGUGAUAAGCGGGAGGAAGGUGUGGAUGACGUCAAGUCCUCAUGGCCCUUACGGGUUGGGCUACACACGUGCUACAAUGGCAGUGACAAUGGGUUAAUCCCCAAAAACUGUCUCAGUUCGGAUUGGGGUCUGCAACUCGACCCCAUG